CAGAGCAUAACGCAGUUGGUAGCGUGUCUGCUUUGGGAGCAGAAAGUCAUAGGUUCAAAUCCUAUUGCUUUGA
Molecule: transfer RNA, 73 nt
Filed under: Amicula sp. isolate GU52X-4 cfCalB7
Lineage: Eukaryota; Bacillariophyta; Bacillariophyceae; Diploneidales; Diploneidaceae
Description: tRNA-Pro
Rfam family: tRNA
About the family: Transfer RNA (tRNA) molecules are approximately 80 nucleotides in length. Their secondary structure includes four short double-helical elements and three loops (D, anti-codon, and T loops). Further hydrogen bonds mediate the characteristic L-shaped molecular structure. tRNAs have two regions of fundamental functional importance: the anti-codon, which is responsible for specific mRNA codon recognition, and the 3' end, to which the tRNAs corresponding amino acid is attached (by aminoacyl-tRNA synthetases). tRNAs cope with the degeneracy of the genetic code in two manners: having more than one tRNA (with a specific anti-codon) for a particular amino acid; and 'wobble' base-pairing, i.e. permitting non-standard base-pairing at the 3rd anti-codon position.
Source: RNAcentral